AUUGAACGCUAGCGGCAUGCUUUACACAUGCAAGUCGAACGAGUGGCGGACGGGUGAGUAAUAUAUCUGAACGUGCCCAGUAGCGGGGGAUAACUACUCGUAAGAGUGGCUAAUACCGCCUACUAUUGGCUCGGCCUAUAUCGGAUUAUCUCGUUGGUGGGGUAAAGGCUCACCAAGGCAACGAUCCGUAGCUGGUUUGAGAGGACGACCAGCCACACUGGGACUGAGACACGGCCCCGACUCCUACGGGAGGCAGCAGUGGGGAAUUUUGGACAAUGGGGGAAACCCUGAUCCAGCCAUGACGCGUGUAUGAGAAGGCCUUCGGGUUGUAAAGUACUUUUGGCAGAGAAGCGGUAACUGAAGAAUAAGCACCGGCUAACUACGUGCCAGCAGCCGCGGGAAUAG
Molecule: ribosomal RNA, 405 nt
Filed under: uncultured bacterium
Lineage: Bacteria
Description: partial 16S ribosomal RNA
Rfam family: Bacterial small subunit ribosomal RNA
Source: RNAcentral